Molecule: RNA transcript, 1368 nt
Organism: Prunus dulcis (almond)
Lineage: Eukaryota; Viridiplantae; Streptophyta; Magnoliopsida; Rosales; Rosaceae
Gene name: triacylglycerol lipase 2-like
Exons: 10
Source: RefSeq, a predicted model, not a curated record
AUGCAAUAUAAUGACACUGGACCUGCAUUAAAUAUUGGCUCAAGAAAAAGCUUUAAAAAUUGUAAAUUGUUGCACUCAGAGACAACCAAGCUCAAAACGUCUAACCCUUCAACCACUCUACUUCUUUUGGCUCUACUCUGCGUUUCAGCAGUUGCAGCAACAAGAACAAAGUUGAACUCAAUCAACAAUCUGGAUGAUGGGAUUUGCAAGUCAAUGGUGGAGACACAAGGCUAUACUUGCCAAGAACACGAAUUAACAACAGCAGAUGGGUACAUCCUUGGCUUGCAGAGGAUUCCGAAUGGACGAUCCUGUAAUGAGACAGCAGAAAAGCUGCCCGUUCUGUUACAACAUGGGGUCUUCCUGGAUGCUUCAUCAUGGCUACUCAAUCCGCCGGAUCAAGCUUUGCCAUUUAUUUUGGCUGACAAUGGUUUUGAUGUAUGGCUUGUCAACAGUCGCGGGACAAGCCCUAGCCGCGGAAACACAUCGCUUAGUCCUAAAGAUCCGGCUUACUGGGUGGUCAUGGGAUGAAUUGGUUGCGUAUGAUCUUCCUGCUUCAUUCCAGUAUGUGAACAAUCAAACAGGACAUAAAUUACACUAUGUGGGGCAUUCCUUGGGAACUUUGACUGCCCUUGCUGCCUUCUCCGAAGAAAAGCUGUUAAACUUGCUAAGAUCAGCUGCUUUGCUUAGCCCUGUAGCUUAUCUGGGUCACAUUUCCUCACUGAUUUUAAGACCUGCUGUUGACAUAUUUGCUGCAGAAAAACUGAAAUUGUUGGGCUGGCUGGAAUUUCCGAAUGGGCAGAUCCAACAACUUGUGGAGUUUAUCUGCACAACACGGGGCAUUGACUGCUCGAACCUCCUGGCAGCUAUAGGAGGCCCAAAUUGCUGCCUCAAUUCUUCAAGCAUAGAUGCUUUAGUUGAAAAUGAUCCACAGCCAACUGCGACGAAAAACCUUAUACAUCUAUCUCAGAUUGUCAGAAAGGGAACCGUAGAAAUGUAUGAUUAUGGUCUUGAAGACACGAACAUAAAACACUACAAGAAACCCACUCCUCCUGUGUACAACAUGGCAAACAUUCCGAAAGACGUUCCUCUUUUCUUCAGCUAUGGAGGGAGAGAUUCGAUUGCUGGCGUCAACGAUGUGGGGAUUUUGCUUGACAAGCUCCGAGAUCAUGACAGGGACAAGCUUGUGGUAGAAUACAGAGAGGAGUAUGCUCAUGUGGAUUUUAUUAUGAGUGUGAAUGCCAACCAAGUUGUGUAUGGUCCUCUACUGGCCUUCUUCAGGCUCCAUUGAGAGUUUAGUUACUUUUGCAAUCUAUAACAUAUUGCCUUUUGUAGGGUUUUGUUCACCAUUAAUAAUGAGAUUUAUGACUA